RNAcentral lists this long non-coding RNA (1195 nucleotides) under Malus domestica (apple). RNAcentral describes it as "long non-coding RNA (MDOM_LNC018787)". The record is from RNAcentral. Lineage: Eukaryota; Viridiplantae; Streptophyta; Magnoliopsida; Rosales; Rosaceae.
UUUCUCUGGAAAAUCUAUAGGGAUCGGCAAGCCUUUCUAGAAAGGUUAUUCUAGUCUUUGACAUGCUUAUUUUUUAUAUUGCAUAAUUUUUUGAAAAUGAAUGAACAUGUGUCAAACUGCUGAGAAGCCAGAUUAGUUAUUUAGCAGAAUUUCCUGCUAACUGUUCAGCAUCCAAGCUUUGUUCAUUAUUAGUAGGGCAAUUAGGUUUUGAAAUUUUUAAUAACGAGUCAUAAAAAACAGACAUAACAAUCACACAAUAACGACAAUGAGUCAUCAAUAUGAUCAAUUACUAAAUACUAAUCAUUUCUGUAAUCAAAUCUCAAAAACUGAUCAUUCCUACCAAUUAUCCUAAAAUAUAUUCUUUUUUGUCCGAGUCAUCAAUAUGAUCAAUAUGUAGUUGCUAAAACUAAUAAUUUAUGCAAACAAAUCUCAAAAACUGAUCAUUCAUACUAAUUACCCUAAAUUAUGUUCCUUUUUAUCUAAGUGUCAAUAACAUCUUCAUCUUCUAUUAUUUUUUCAUAACUACGCCUAAAUCGUGGAAUGUCGUAGAUUUUUCAAUAAUUUAGCGAAAAAAAAGGACUUCAAAAAGGAAAAACUUCAAUUAGGGCAUCCUAGAUUAAAUCCGAAGGUUCUCAAACAAAAAUGACUCAAAAAAUAAAUAUAUAUAAAAAAAAACACGAUCAACUUGGUCAAUCUAAUGGAUGUCAUAUCAACGGAUCUUUGGUUGUGAAUAGCAUGAGAACACAUCUAGGACUCCAAAACCAAAAGAACUUCAACUUUGGCAACCAAAAAUUCAGUUACUUCAUAAUCCGCUUCAUGGGAGACUACGCACAAAUCGUCAACAAAACUAAUAAGAGAACAAUCUUUACAAACGAGCAGCCCCGACUCCCAAGAGAAACUAUAAAAGAAACAAAUAAUGACAACUACAAAAGGCUAUGCGGUCAUGAAAACCACCAACGAAGCUACUAGUUCAUCAUAAUAAAUGGCAACAACACCACCAUGAGACAUGAACAAAAGACGAAAGCUCUAAGGGCUAACCGAACACAGACAAGAGCCGCACUAUAAUCUACAAUACCCACCUAACAAAAAUUCAACCUCAUAUUUUGCCAAACCUCAUAUGGUGCCAGAAAUGUAGAGAAAUGUCUAAGAAAAAUACACGAGAAGUUAUUUAUAGGAGGAGAUUUAAAUGGACACG